CCAGCAGCCGCGGUAAUUCCAGCUCCAAUAGCGUAUAUUAAAGUUGUUGCAGUUAAAAAGCUCGUAGUUGGAUUUCAAGAACAGCAUUGGUGCAAACCAUAUGCUUUCUACCAGUCUUUGACUGUUACUGUGAGAAAAUUAGAGUGUUUAAAGCAGGCAAUUGCAGGAAUACAUUAGCAUGGAAUAACGAAUGUACUUACAAUUUGGUUGAUUGUAGGUUUCGGUUAAUAGGGACAGUUGGGGGCAUUAGUAUUUAAUUGUCAGAGGUGAAAUUCUUGGAUUAGUUAAAGACUAACGUAUGCGAAAGCAUUUGCCAAGGAUGUUUUCAUUAAUCAAGAACGAAA
This 344-nucleotide ribosomal RNA is filed under the name uncultured eukaryote. RNAcentral describes it as "SSU rRNA". It matches the Rfam family "Eukaryotic small subunit ribosomal RNA", at positions 567 to 988 of the family's 1831-position model. The record is from RNAcentral.